CGGGCCGAGGAUGGAGGGAGGCCCCCUGAGCUCGCUAGCUGGGGACUGCCUGGCGACUCACUGGCUUCGCAGGUCACGGCUGACGGCUGACGUAGCCGCCCAGAUGGCCUCCAGGCUGACCUCGCUGACCCUCCUCCUGCUGCUGCUGGCUGGGGAUAGAGCCUCCUCAGAUCCGAAUGCCACCAGCCACAGCACUGAGGACCCAGAAAGCACUCAUGGGAAAAGCAAAGCCAUCUUUCUGGAGGGAAAUGCCACCAGAAAUCUACUCACUGAGCACAUGGUGAAAUCUUCCACCUGGCCAACAACUGACGAAGCCACCAAAGUAACAUCUAAUAUCACUGAUCAACCUAAACCUGCUGCCCAGCCCUCCACCCAGCACACCCAAACAACUUCCAAAUACCUCACGAAUUUUCUCACACAGUCCUCUGCAAACUCUUCUACUCAGUCCCCCACGGAAUCUGCCACCCAGGCCCCUUCCGAGCCCACCUGCCCAGAGCCCCUCACUCACUGCUUUGAAUCAGACAGGGACUCUGCAGAAACCACCCUGGGGGAGGCUUUGACAGAUUUCUCCCUGAAGCUCUUCCAUGCCUUCUCAGCCACCAAGAAGGUGGAGACCAACAUGGCCUUCUCCCCAUUCAGCAUCUUCAGCCUCCUCACGCAGGUUCUGCUUGGGGCUGGAGACAGCACCAAGAGCAACUUAGAAAGCAUCCUCUCAUUCCCCAAGGACUUUACCUGUGUCCACCAGGCACUGAAGGCCUUCACGUCCAAAGGCUUCACCUCUGUCUCUCAGAUCUUCCACAGUCCAGAUCUAGCCAUAAGGGACACCUUUGUGAAUGCCUCUCAGAACCUGUAUGGCAGCAGCCCCAGAGCCCUGGGCACAGACAGUGAUACCAACUUGAAGCUCAUCAACACCUGGGUGGCUGAGAAAACCAACCACAGGAUCAGUCAGCUUCUAGACAGCCUGCCCUCCAACACCCGCCUGGUCCUUCUCAAUGCUGUGUACCUGAGUGCCAAGUGGAAGAAUACAUUUGAUCAAAAGAAAAAGAUGGAGUCUUUCCACUUCAAAAACUCUGUGAUUCAAGUACCCAUGCUGCAUAGCAAGAAGUAUCCUAUGGCCCACUUCAAUGACCCAACUUUGAAGGCCAAGGUGGGGCAACUGCAGCUUUCCCACAACCUGAGCUUCGUCAUCAUGGUGCCGCAGAGCCUGAAGCACCGACUUGAAGACAUGGAGCAGGCUCUCAACCCCACUGUCUUCAAGGCCAUCAUGAAGAAGCUGGAACGGUCCAAGUUCCAGCCCACUUACGUGAUGAUGCCCCGCAUCAAAGUGACGAGCAACCAAGACAUGCUGUCCAUCAUGGAGAAGCUAGAGGAUGACACUGAAAGUCCCAAGCUUCUAAUCAUGGCUUAAUCUUUCUGGUGACCAAACCCCAUUCAGGAGCCCACUGAGAGCCUCUUCAUUAGAACAAAAGAUGUUCCUGUCACCCAGGAAGUUCCAAGAGAUUUGGGGAUAUUCACUGUUAUUAGGAACCAGGGUCGGAAACUAAAUGCUAGACCAAAAGCUGCUCUGUUGCUUUGGAAAUUGCAAGGAUUUUAAGAAGACGGAUCAAAGACUAAAAGACUAUUAGAAUAAUAUUUAGUCUAGAAUCUCUACUGCUAGGGACAUUAUAACGGUUUUAAGAGAUCUUUGUCAAUAAUUUGUGGUAGACCCCAGCAUGGUGGCAUAUGACUUUAAUCCCAGCACUUGGGAGGCAGAGGUAGGAGGAUUGCUGUGAGUUCGAGGCCACCCUGAGGCUACAUAAAUUCUUCGACUUUACUUAUGACCUCAACCUGUGUGGACUGACUGAGGACCCGGACCUCCAAGUGUCUGCCAUGCAGCACCAGACCUUGCUGGAGCUGACAGAGAUGGGCGUGGAGGCGGCUGCGGCUUCUGCCAUCUCUC
Jaculus jaculus (lesser Egyptian jerboa) is the source of this 1939-nucleotide RNA transcript. It is a transcript of the gene named serpin family G member 1, with no coding region annotated. The transcript has 8 exons. Lineage: Eukaryota; Metazoa; Chordata; Mammalia; Rodentia; Dipodidae. The record is from RefSeq and is a predicted model, not a curated record.